Non-coding RNA from Gymnothorax javanicus (giant moray), 74 nucleotides. The record is from the annotation of a GenBank genome assembly. NCBI's taxonomy places the organism in Eukaryota, Metazoa, Chordata, Actinopteri, Anguilliformes, Muraenidae.
AAUAGGAUAGCUCACUCGGUUAAAGCACUGUGUUGCGGAGCAGAAGUGUCCGGGUUCGAGUCCCGGUCAGAGUU